GAUGAACGCUGGCGGCGUGCUUAACACAUGCAAGUCGAACGAACCUUCGGGUUAGUGGCGGACGGGUGAGUAACGCGUGAGAAUCUGCCCUCAGGAGGGGGAUAACGACUGGAAACGGUCGCUAAUACCCCAUAUGCCGAGAGGUGAAAUGAAUUUCGCCUGAGGAUGAGCUCGCGUCUGAUUAGCUAGUUGGUGGGGUAAAGGCCUACCAAGGCGACGAUCAGUAGCUGGUCUGAGAGGAUGAUCAGCCACACUGGGACUGAGACACGGCCCAGACUCCUACGGGAGGCAGCAGUGGGGAAUUUUCCGCAAUGGGCGAAAGCCUGACGGAGCAACGCCGCGUGAGGGAUGAAGGCCUCUGGGCUGUAAACCUCUUUUCUCAAGGAAGAAGAUCUGACGGUACUUGAGAAU
Molecule: ribosomal RNA, 411 nt
Filed under: uncultured bacterium
Lineage: Bacteria
Description: bacterial SSU rRNA
Rfam family: Bacterial small subunit ribosomal RNA
Source: RNAcentral